CUACGGGCGGCUCCAGUGAGGAAUAUUGCACAAUGGGGGGAACCCUGAUGCAGCAACGCCGCGUGGAGGAUGACGCAUUUCGGUGUGUAAACUCCUUUUAUAUGUCAAGAAAAUGACGGUAGCAUAUGAAUAAGCACCGGCUAACUCCGUGCCAGCAGCCGCGGUAAUACGGAGGGUGCAAGCGUUACUCGGAAUCACUGGGCGUAAAGGACGCGUAGGCGGGUUGGAAAGUCAGGUGUGAAAUCCUACAGCUUAACUGUAGAACUGCACUUGAAACUCUCAAUCUAGAGUAUGGGAGGGGCAGAUGGAAUUAGUGGUGUAGGGGUAAAAUCCGUAGAUAUCACUAGGAAUACCUAAAGCGAAGGCGAUCUGCUGGAACAUUACUGACGCUAAGGCGUGAAAGCGUGGGGAGCAAACAGGAUUAGAUACCCCGGUAGUC
Molecule: ribosomal RNA, 439 nt
Filed under: uncultured bacterium
Lineage: Bacteria
Description: partial 16S ribosomal RNA
Rfam family: Bacterial small subunit ribosomal RNA
Source: RNAcentral